This 477-nucleotide long non-coding RNA is filed under the name Cucumis sativus (cucumber). Its description in RNAcentral is "long non-coding RNA (CSAT_LNC001117)". The record is from RNAcentral. Lineage: Eukaryota; Viridiplantae; Streptophyta; Magnoliopsida; Cucurbitales; Cucurbitaceae.
GGGGCAUUUUCUGCGUCUUCUUCAUGAGUUCCAGUCUCUGAUUCCUCAAUAAUGGUGAUGUGAUGACAUGAAGUUUCACCUUCCCCUUGUUCCGACCCUUCUUUUUCAGGAUUCGUUAGUAUAACAUCAUGUCUUUUUACCUUUAACGAACCUUGACUUGUAUUGAGAGUAACAAAAGUUUUUCUUUUCAUGCGAGAAGGAACGUUGCUAUGAAUUUCUCCAUUUUCCUUUGUCUCGCAAGGAAACUUCUUACUACGAUAAUUCUCGACAUCUGUAUGCUUAAUUCGACGCCAAACUUUCACACGAGACAUUGGUUCCUUCUUCUUUGUAUCUAUGUUGGAAUCAAUGUUGUCGUGUGAUCCUUUAUCCCCGAGAUGAUUAAAAAUCGGAGCACGGGGUGCUUGUACAUUUUUCUUUUUAGACACACCUAGCCUUUCAAAGGCUGAUGGUCUUGUAGUUGUCAAGGCAUGGCAUGUG